GUGUCAGCAGCCGCAGUAAAACGUAGGACGCGAGCGUUAUCCGGAGUUACUGGGCGUAAAGCGCGGGCAGGCGGUCUGACAAGUCUGAUGUGAAAUCACCCAGCUUAACUGGGCGAGGCCAUUGGAAACUGACAGACUGGAGGGCAGUAGAGGUAGGCGGAAUUCCGGGUGGAGUGGUGAAAUGCGUAGAGAUCCGGAGGAACACCAGAGGCGAAGGCGGCCUACUGGGCUGCACCUGACGCUGAGCCGCGAAAGCCAGGGGAGCGAACGGGAUUAGAAACCCCUGUAGUCC
RNAcentral lists this ribosomal RNA (292 nucleotides) under uncultured bacterium. Its description in RNAcentral is "partial 16S ribosomal RNA". It matches the Rfam family "Bacterial small subunit ribosomal RNA", at positions 505 to 796 of the family's 1533-position model. The record is from RNAcentral.